GUAUUGCUUGUCACAGUCCCAUUUUCCUUUCAAUUUUAUUUAUAUCAGUGAUGAACAAAAGUAAAAUUUAUGCUCAUAAUCAGCCUUUUUUUUUUUUUUUUUUUUUGUCUUUUGUCUUUUUAGGGCCGCACCCGCAGCAUAUGGAGGUUCCCAGGCUAGGGGUCCACUCAGAGCUGUAGCUGCUGGCCUACACCACAGCCACAGCAACUCGGGAUCCGAGCUGUGUCUGCGACCCCACACCACAGCUCAUGGCAACACCGGAUCCUUAACCCACUAAGCAAGGCCAAGAAUUGAACCUUCAACCUUAUGGUGCCUAGUCGGAUUCACUAACCACUGAGCCACAUCGAGAACUCCAGGAACCUGUAUUUUUAAACCUCUCCCAAGGUGACACAGCCCUGCCAGGUGCAGGAGAGCCACCUCCCGGGACACAGCUGCUUGGUCACUCCUGGUGGGCCAGGAUUCCCAGCGCCCUGGGACCUUGUGAGUAUAAACUUCCUUCCGCCAAGCCCAGUAAGACAGCCUCCCCAGAGGAACAGACUGGUGGUGUCCAGACUUCCUCAAAGCCUGAGGGACUGAAGGUGGCUGGGCAGGCAGCCAAGGGGAGGGGAGGGGUGGAGUCCUCUGACAGCUGCCCUCAGCCUCAGGGCUGGCCCUGAGAAGCCCAGUGCCACUGGCCACCUGCCCAGUCAACAAUCCAGAAAGGGCCAGGCCACAUUCCCCUCUGCACUCUUGGCUGAAUGAACCAGAGGUCCUCAGACAAUGGUUCUGACUGCAGAAGUUUGAAAAAUGCUGCUGCCUAGGUGCCACCCCCAAGGAGGCCCCAGCUAGUUGGUCUGGGGUACACUUGACCACGGCUGAUUCUACUAUGUGCAAGCAGGGCGAGGACCAUGGAACUGGGGGGGAAGAGUGAACAUAAGGAAAGGACUUUGCUGGAGGCGAGUGUAGAACCCAGAAGAGAUCCUGCUCACGCCCCAAAAUGGGGAUUUUAUCCAGAGGGACGAUGGCGGUUACUAUUUCUGGGCUCCUGUGUGUGCUUACCACGUGCCAGCUGUCGUCCAAGGCAUCUUCACCUCUUCCCGGACCUGAGGGAGGGCUCACCUCACUCACCAAGUCCUGCUCUUAACCAGCUGGUUCUUGGAAGACUGUGAAGGCUCACAAAAAAAAGAGUGAAGACUUUUCAUGAAAACCUAGAAAACUGCAAGCUACUUUACACCUACUCAUUCAAGAAAUGUCCAGCUUUCCUACCCUUUGUGCCUGGUGCUGACGUCCAGAGCUGGGCACUCAAACUGGAUGGGAAAGCACGCAGUAGUUCACAUAGCAUCCUGUUCAGAGAAAUGGCAAGAAACCGAAAAGUGGAGUGCACCACCCUCGGAGAGCUAAGAACUUUCUACAAGUUGUUGCAGUGGUGUGUGGGUCUGUGUGUAUGUGUCCACACUAGGUCUUGAUGGGAAAGGCAUUUCUUAUUGUCAGUCACAGUCCGAAACACUUGAGAAACAGAGACAGAUGGGCAAGAGACAAGCCUUCGUGUACCGAAUAUAAUUGUGUAAGCAAACGCAGUUCUGUUAACCUAAGAAGCCCCCAACUGUAACUGCGUGGUAGUUACAAAUUUCUAGAUACACCUUGAAAUUCACUUUGUGGCCAUGACACCCAAAGUAGAAGAAAUGGGUGAAAAGAGUAUAAACAGCCUUCUCCAUGGUUUGGAAAGCGUCCCCCACUCCCCCAGGAAUUUCAGCCCAGCACCACCAUCACCCCUAAGACCGACCAAUGGUGGGCCUUAAUGUCUUCCUCAAGUCUCGACGGUACAAUAGCACAUACCUUGGUAGAUUUAUGGAGAAAGAUCUCCGGACUAUUAGUCCACGGGGCGCCCAGGGGCUGAAUCGGCCCAGGGAAACCAGGAGUGGAAAGCUGCCCCCAGCAUCCCCAAACCCUUCCUUCUUCUCCGUCAGGCUGCUUAACCGUUUUCAGCCUGCUGAGCAUGCUAGUUGUUGCAGCUGGAUGGAGCCCAGGAUUCCUAGAGCUCUCAAAGGCGGUCCCACGAAUGAUGGGACUUCAGGCCGCUCAGAGCGCACAUCCAGCAGACCUGCAGCAAAGGACCAGCACAGCUACCAUGUACGGCUGUGCCGCAACCAAAUGCAGAGCAAACACGUCGGCCCAGCGUCGCCUGCCCUUGGGUUCGGGGGGCCUGGCUCCCCCAAUUCCAGCAUUAAGGAUGAUCCCCUGUACUUGCUGUCCUGUGGCAUCACCGGUAGGCGCUGGCUUCACUCUGGAAAACAACAUCUCACCCACCUGUGGACAAGCUUUUGUCCUAAAAACUGAUCAUUUCUCAGACUACAAGCUUCACCAAGUGCUUGAUACCGGCCCUCGAUCCGUUUGCAAGACCGGGGCUUCCAUGUUACGGUCUCAUAAAACACUGAACUCUCACGCAGCCACCUGUCAGUCAACCAGCAGCACAGCUUAGUGGUUACAUCCACAAAGGACUAAGCAAAGUGUUGGGAAGGUUACGCUCCAAAACGUUUCAGUUUUUACCUUUGGGGAGGGGUGAAAGAGGACAAGUUGAAAGGGUCUUUAAGGUGAAAUGUCUGACAUUUUAAUUUUCUUCACAAAAAUGCAUGAGUGUUAAUCUCUUCAAUGGCACAUUUAAAAAAAGAAAAAGCUAUCAGAAUUAUUUAGCGUUGAUAUUCCAGACUUAAGGACUCCUCUGAUGAGAAGCAGAUUCAAACAGUAGACGUAAGUCUACUCACAGAAUUCAAGGCACUAAACUUCGCAUUGUUCUUUUUUUUUUUUCUAUUUCAGAGAUGAUGAAACAGAACCCAGAGAGAGAAACUUACCCAGGUUCUCAUACCUAGUAAAUGGUGAAGUCAGCAUUCAAAUCCACAUAAUUUCAAGCAAAGAUUCUUCUUUCAUACAAGGGGGCAGAAGGUAAGUGAACACUGUAAGAUCUUUUCUGUCCACUAGUAGUAGAUACGCAACACCGGCUAAGAUGUAGGGAGAAAAGUCACUCUCAUCACCAUGGUGAUGCAACUAUUAACUGAUCCUCCUACUUUGAUAGGACCGUUCAAUAUUUUAAAUAUGUGAAUUCCUUUGAACCAGCCAUUUCCCCUGCAGAAAUUUAUCCUAGGGAAACCUAAAAAAAAAAAAAAAAAAAAA
RNAcentral lists this long non-coding RNA (3147 nucleotides) under Sus scrofa (pig). Its description in RNAcentral is "lncRNA (ENSSSCG00035062538.1)". The record is from RNAcentral. Lineage: Eukaryota; Metazoa; Chordata; Mammalia; Artiodactyla; Suidae.